GGAACUGGGUUCAAAUCUCAUGCUAGUGUAUGGGUAGUUUUCGUCUUGUAAGCCGAAAGCCAUAGUUGCUAGUGCAAGGUUUGCAAUUACAUCGUGUUAAGAUACAUAUACGAUCCAACAACAAGUCGAAAUUAUUAAAAGUUAGUAGCGAAAUCCGAAUUCCAACAAUUGAGGGUCUGGUGGCAAAAAUUGAAUCCUCGCACAGUACAAUGAUUCCGUACCAAGAAGAUAACGAAGUCUCUCGACAAUUCUUGGUUGAAUCCGCUAUGUACAAGAAAAUAAGGAAACUGCAAAAAAAUCUACACA
Molecule: small RNA, 306 nt
Filed under: Drosophila willistoni
Lineage: Eukaryota; Metazoa; Arthropoda; Insecta; Diptera; Drosophilidae
Description: GK28038
Source: RNAcentral